UCUUCAGUAGUAUAGUGGUCAGUAUCCCCGCCUGUCACGCGGGAGACCGGGGUUCGAUUCCCCGCUGGAGAG
Transfer RNA from Trichomalopsis sarcophagae, 72 nucleotides. It matches the Rfam family "tRNA". Rfam says of the family: Transfer RNA (tRNA) molecules are approximately 80 nucleotides in length. Their secondary structure includes four short double-helical elements and three loops (D, anti-codon, and T loops). Further hydrogen bonds mediate the characteristic L-shaped molecular structure. tRNAs have two regions of fundamental functional importance: the anti-codon, which is responsible for specific mRNA codon recognition, and the 3' end, to which the tRNAs corresponding amino acid is attached (by aminoacyl-tRNA synthetases). tRNAs cope with the degeneracy of the genetic code in two manners: having more than one tRNA (with a specific anti-codon) for a particular amino acid; and 'wobble' base-pairing, i.e. permitting non-standard base-pairing at the 3rd anti-codon position. The record is from Rfam. Lineage: Eukaryota; Metazoa; Arthropoda; Insecta; Hymenoptera; Pteromalidae.